GUGCCGUGAUGUAACUGUCAACACAUCAUUCCGAAGCAGAAUUGUGUGGAGACUUUUCGUAACUGAGCACC
RNAcentral lists this small nucleolar RNA (71 nucleotides) under Eurypyga helias (sunbittern). RNAcentral describes it as "Small nucleolar RNA SNORD63". It matches the Rfam family "Small nucleolar RNA SNORD63". From Rfam's summary of the family: snoRNA U63 is found in both humans and mice. Lineage: Eukaryota; Metazoa; Chordata; Aves; Eurypygiformes; Eurypygidae. The record is from Rfam by way of RNAcentral.